UGGGGAAUUUUGGACAAUGGGGGAAACCCUGAUCCAGCCAUCCCGCGUGUGCGAUGAAGGCCUUCGGGUUGUAAAGCACUUUUGGCAGGAAAGAAACGUCAUGGGUUAAUACCCCGUGAAACUGACGGUACCUGCAGAAUAAGCACCGGCUAACUACGUGCCAGCAGCCGCGGUAAUACGUAGGGUGCAAGCGUUAAUCGGAAUUACUGGGCGUAAAGCGUGCGCAGGCGGUUCGGAAAGAAAGAUGUGAAAUCCCAGAGCUCAACUUUGGAACUGCAUUUUUAACUACCGGGCUAGAGUGUGUCAGAGGGAGGUGGAAUUCCGCGUGUAGCAGUGAAAUGCGUAGAUAUGCGGAGGAAAACCGAUGGCGAAGGCAGCCUCCUGGGAUAACACUGACGCUCAUGCACGAAAGCGUGGGGAGCAAACAGG
Molecule: ribosomal RNA, 429 nt
Filed under: Acidobacteriota bacterium
Lineage: Bacteria; Pseudomonadati; Acidobacteriota
Description: Acidobacteria bacterium partial 16S ribosomal RNA
Rfam family: Bacterial small subunit ribosomal RNA
Source: RNAcentral